UCCCUUAUAUGCCAUAACUUAGGAUGGAUGAACACAGCUAUGAGAAGCUGUGAGAGGUUGAGCUAUGAGAGGCUUAGCCAUUUGUAAAGUGAGGCCAAACUUGUCUUCCAUGUUCAUAGUCUCAGGUAGAACUCCAUCUUCAAGCUUCCAAUCAAAGCAGUUGAUGAGUGAACCCAGCAUCAAGUGCAACAUUCUCAUUGCCAAUGGCAAACCUGGACAGAUUCUCCUCCCACCCCCAAAUGGAAUAAGCUCAAAGUUUUUUCCCAUAACAUCAAUUUGGUUGUCUAAUCCCAAGAACCUCUCUGGCAUAAAAGAGUUUGGAUUGUCCCAAAUGCUGGGGUCUCUGCCUAUGGCCCAAACAUUGACUAGAACUUGUGCACCCUUCGGAACAAUGUAGCCCCCGAUUUCUACAUCUGUUUCAGCUUUUCGUGGCAGUAGCAAUGGAACCGCUGGGUGCAAGCGGAAGGUCUCCUUGAUUAUUGCUUGUAAGUAAGGCAGUCUAGCAAUGUCAGAUUCCUCGAUUGGUUUUCCUUUUCCAAUUGCUUGAUCCAUCUCUUCUUGAGCUUUAGAAAGACAUUUUGGGUUGUUUAGUAGCUCAGCCAUUGCCCAUUCCAAUGUGGCUGAAGUUGUAUCUGUGCCCGCAGUCAAAUAGAGCCUGCAUACACAAUAGUUCAUAGUUCAUACUAAUCAUUUAGACACCAUGCAAAAUUAAAUGAAUCAUAUUAACGUAUAAUCAUCAUGUACUGAUUAGUGAUUACUGAACAAAAGAUUUAGUAAGCAUAGCAUUAUUGAGUUAAGCAACCAAGAACAUGGGAAAACAGUAUAAACUAACCAGAAACAAGUGUUCAACAACUUGGAGGUCUUUCAUAUCCUCCUCAUUAUUCUCUUGACUGAUGUUCAUAAUGGUAUCCAACAUAUCAUUAUGUGUGACAUAAUCAUUCCCUUUUCUGGAGUCCGUCCUUUGAUUGAUCAUAGAUCCGAUGAAGCCUAACAUCUUGAUGUAGUAACUGUGAAAGCGACGACGUAUGCCUGGGGUCAAUCUUCCUAAGCACAGGAAAAAAGUCCCCUAAAAUUCGGCUUCCCAGCCUCUUCCAUUAGACCCCAAACAAUCUCCUUGAACUCUCUAGCCGUUUCAUUACUCCCCGAGCCAGUGUCAGCUAAAUCCAUAGAGAAACAAGUCCUUGAUAGCAGAUUGAGCGUGGUUUUGAAAGCAGCCUCUCCAAUAUCUACUGCCACACCCUUUACCAUGCAGUCAUUGACACUAGCAAUGAGCUCUUGCAAUUUGAAUCGCCGACUGUCUUGGUUGGCAUCAAGAACUUUGGUGGCAAACAAUUGCGAGUUACAUAGUUUGCGAAGGUUUCUCCACCUCGGUGAUACAGGAAGCCAAGGCAAGCUGUAGUCUGCAAAGGCUAGUAGUGCAUCUGGGACUGUUCUGUUGCAGAAGAAUUGAUCAUGGUUUCGGAGGAUUUCUUUGGCCAUGGCUGAUGAAGAAGCUACAACAGUAGUGACUUGCCCGAGUUGCAAACUGAUUAAGGGGCCGUAGCGUUGUGAAAGCUUAGUCAGAGAGACAUGAGGUUUCUCUCCAAGCUCAAACAGAUUCCCAACAAGUGGAAAUGGCUUUGGCCCUGGAGGAAGCCUAAGUCUGGUUCUUCCAUAGAGGGCUUGGAUCAAGAACCAGGAGGCAGCAAAGCACAGUGACAAGAGUAUGAAGCUCAAGAAAAAAUCCAUCUCCCACUUGAAGAUUGAAACUGGUUUAACAGAGAGGCUGAGUUGAGACAAGUACAAGAAUCAAUCUUGUAGAUGUUGCCCUGUGUGGGCAUAUAAAUAUUCUAGCUUGCUGUACUAUACAAUCUUUUAGAUGUUGCCCUGAGUUUGAAUAUGUGGAUCAGGGCUCUCUAACUGUCUCUGUUGUAGUUGCAGCCAAAAAUGAAUGAAAAAACAGAGACGUGCUGAGAUUGGGGAAGGCUCUAGUGCAGCAAUUUGAUAAAAUAUCUUGCUUGCCAGCAGAAUGAGAAGGACGAAGAUAAUGUGCUUCAGUUACACAUGUCUUUCUUAGGGGGGCAGUGGGGUUCCAAAUCUGUGGGGGUAAGAUAUUCACCCUUUAUUAAAUUGGGCCCAUAAAAUAAUGUGCUUCAGUUACACAUGGCUUUUGUCAACUUUCAUCAAUUCUGUUUUCGAAAAUUUUGUUCAAGAUCCAGAUGAUAAUGAAAGAAAACAAAGAUGGACAAAAAAGUCGUACGAAAUACUAAUACAACAAAUUAAGGGGAAACUAACAAGAUUUUCCAAAGAGCUACAAAAUUUUCUCUUCAAAGAAUAACAUUUUUCUUAGAUUUUUGCUCUGUCUCUCAUUUGGCAAAUACUAAAGCUCUGUUUUUAGUUGGCUUGUGGUGCUUUUUGACUGACGGAGACGUCCAUUUUCUUUGUGUAACCGUAUAUAUGGGUAAGAAUUAGUAGUCAAAUGCAUUUGGUAUAAGAAAAUAUCCAAGAAGUUCAUAAUAUGCAAGUAGAGAAAGAGAACAAAGAAGAUGUAAAAGACUAAAUUUCUACAAAAUUUCUAAAAGAAAACAUAAUCCCAGAGUUUCUGCCUACUACUCCUCUUCUUCUGCCUCCCUCAACCAUCGGACAAAAUUUUCGGCCUGCCUGACGAAAACUUUAUCUGAUUCAUCUGCAUUUGUCUUUUCUUCGACCCACCUGAGAAUGGCUUCUUCUUGGAUAACUUCUUGAUCAUAGAGUUGAUCCAAUAUCUUAUCGAACACAGAGGCAAAUUCCUUGGUAGACUCCGAACACAUUUCUUCAAACUUCAUUAUCACUUCUAUCUCCUCAUCUAUGUCUGAUAGGUAAUACUUGAGCAGGUGUUUCCAUUCUGAAAUUACCAUGGCAGCAGCUCGCACCAAUUCGCUUGCCGAUUCAUGUGGAGCUUCCAAUGUCAGUUUCAUUACGGAGUAAAAUAUAGCUCCAGCACAAUCUGCAGUUUGCUUGUUGAAUGACAAUCGCAGCGCGUUCACUUCCAACACCACAUGAUCUAGUGUUUUAUUUUCAUGCACAGCUGUUAGGAAGGUUGCUUCAACCUCAUUCUCAAAGUCAGAAUAGUCUUCAUUACAGUUGUCUUCAGAAUCACUAGAUUCAAGUUCCAGCUCUGCAAGACUGCUGCCAUCUUGUGCAAAGUACUCCUGAUCCUCCUCCUCAGCGGCACGUAUCGCCUCAGCAAGUUUCUCUGCAGGAAUAGGAGCAAUUGAGUUUCUCCAAUCUUCAUCACAAACUGACCAAACACAACCAGCCCCAUUAGUACCGAGCUCAUUUGGUUUAUUUACAUCGCAAUCAAUAGGGGGUGAGAUUUCUGCAUUGCUAUUAUCGGCGACAUACUCCAGCUCCUCAUCAUCACUAUCUUGCUCAGUUGGUUGCUGAAGUAAUGAUACCUUUAAAUAUGAAGGAACAGUGCAUUGUUCUCCUAGAACAACCUGGAAAGACAAAACUACUCCAGGUUCCAAAACUGCCCCGGACUUGAUGACCACUCCAUCACAAACUACAACAUGUUUUAGUUUGCAUCCAUCUUCAAUGGUGGCAUUGUCCCAUAUAUAACAACCUUCUAUGGAAACAUUUGACCCAAUAGAACACCCUCUCCCAAUAACAGAACUUAUAAUUUCGGUAUUGUCCCCAAUCUUGGUGCCACGUCCGAUUUCUUUAACCUGAACCGCUGGUGUCGAGGAUGGGUAAGUCCCUCUCUGAAUUAUGUCCUUGCUAAUUGUAUCAUAGCUUCGGAAAUUGUCAACCUUAGCAGCAUAACUACUCGAGUCAAUUUCAUGUGUGAAUAUCUUGUAUCCCAAAACGUCAUCUUCAAGCAAUCCACCCAAUAAAUCACGACGAAGAUCUUGGUAAUCGAAAUUGUCUGCGAGAAGGCUAAGGACUUCAGGAGAGCAGAUAUCAAUGUAGCAAUCCUCUCUGUCAUAAUGAAGCGAAAUCGCAGAUUUACCAGCAAGCAUUGUCUUAUCAAGACAAAAUAUAGAUUCCUUUGCAUGGUCUGCCUUAUCCUCGUAACACAAGAGCUGCUUUGUGCUAGGAUCUAUUGCCAUAAACAGCUCACCAUUGCCGAGUAAUCGAGAUUGGUGUGUCAUGAUUUGAGAAGGUUUGACAACAAUUGUCAUAACAGCAUUCUUAUCCUUCUUUCUUCUCUCUUUAUGGUCUUGCAGCACUUGAGUAAGGGACAUGUCAGUUACAGUAUCCCCACUUAUGAGGACAAAAUCCCCAUGGAUCACAUCGCGCUCAUAUAUCAAACGCAGGGCAUCUCCAGCACUAGCACAAGAUCGUGACUCAAUUGUGGUGACGGUGAAGGAGCUUGGUUGAGAGACUUCAGGGUGGUUCUCCAGAUAACUGAUCACUUGCUUGGAGUGAAAGCAGCACAAAACAAAGACCUCCUUGACGCCAGUAGACUUGAGCCAAGCCAAGGUGUAGCAAAUCAUGGGCACAUUUACUAAUGGAAAUAGCACUUUGGGACGUUCAAGGGUGAUGGGGUCGAAUUUGUUGGUGAAACUAUCGGCUAAGAGGACGGCCUGCAGGGGAACAUGCCCUAAUUCUUCGGAGUCCUCAGAACGGCUCGAGGUACCCUUCUUCUUUGCACCCAUUGCUUCUCCUCGAUCUUUGUAUGAAAGUAUGAAUGAAGUAAAAUCAUUUAGGAGAAAUCGAUCAAUGAACUAGCUUGUGAUCGCAACCUCUGCCUUUUAUAGAACCCGGGUAUGUCAUGCAUUCCUGGCUGCUUUAAGGAUAGGAAUACUGUCCUCUGCCCAAUUUGGAAUAGGAAUGGGAAUGGGAAUGGGAAUAGGAAUUUCCUUUUCACUGGAAAAUAAUAUAUAUACCAGGUUAAGAUAGGAACUAUAGAUAUGGAAAUUUAUGUUCCUAAUUCAAAUCUAGUAAGUUUGUGUCUCCUAAUCUAAUUAGGCAAUUUCUCCAUGUUGUCUCAGCAAUUAGAGUGGCAGGGGGAUAGAUGAGACAGGAUGAGUAUAAUUCACUAGCUAUAGAUAUAUAAUACAACUGGUGACCUUUAACAGUAGGUCCUUUCAGGAAAAAAGAAAAAAAAAGAAAAAGUAAAAUGGCAUGAUCGAACUGAUUCAUAUAAGGAAGAUCACGAGGGGGAGUUUGUAUUUCAAUUUACCUAGAGCAUAAUGGCUAAUUAGAGCAGUGUCACUCCAAGAUCUGUGUUGAUGUUUUUGGCAUCAGUCAAAUAUAUGGUGACAUAAACUUAUAUGAAAGGAAAUGAAAACAAAGGAAAAGUUGGUUUGCUGCAUGGCUUACCAGAAUAAUGAGAAAUGAGAAUAUCAUAUUUUCCAGUAAAGCUUUAAAAUGAAGAAAUUUCGAUAUGAUAUAUUCACAAUCCGCAGUUGUGCUGUCUUGGUACUUUUCUCCUAAUGUCUUUGAAUACAUCUGAUUCAGAGGAAGGUCUUUGUUUGCAUUUUCAUAUGUACAAGAUGUUAGACACCACUGACCCUCAAAAACUAGAGCUCUAAGGGGAAUGGAUUAACAAUCUAUCUCAAUCUAGUACAUGAAUGUGUACUGAUACCUGGAUUAUCAUAGAGGUGCUUAUUGCUGCUGACGGUGAAUUCUGUUGGUUUGUUAUGAGCUUAAACUUUUUCAUCUCUGCCAUGAGGUCUUUUACUCUUCGUGCAGGUGAACUUUAGAUGUCCAAAAUUUAGAUAUACGUAUUUCCCUUGCGUCUAAAUACUGAAAACUCAUGGUCACCUAAUGUGUUAUAGUCUAAAAACUCCUGCCAGUCAGACUGGAUACUCUUAGGGGAUCAAGCCAGAAACUAGUAUACUCCGCAUUUUAAUUUUUAACCAUAACAAGCCGGUAACAUGUUUAAGGAUGCCUCACAAAAAGCUGAUGAAGCGCAGAAUCCAUGACUAGUUCUUGAUCCCCAUAACAUGCCUAGCCAAUUCUGAUAUGGAACUAUUUUCUGAUUAGUUUUGUUUUAGUUCCAGCCUCUUUCCUGCUGCUUUCUUUUUCCGGCUCUUCCCUCCUGCUGCCUCUUUUACAUCUCAAUGAUUAUUUAGAUUCAAUAAACAUCAAUCAGUAUAUCCAGUACUAAGAUAAAGUUAACAGAAAAAUUACUACAAGGAGGAACAAAUCAGCACUUAAGACGUUUUAUUAGAAUGUUUUAGCCCCAAACAUGGAAGGACUACAAUAGCAGCCAACUUAUAACUGAAACUAAAAGGAUAGUGAUUAAAUGCUCAACAGAUGAACUACUGGUAUUCAGAGUGAGCCUUCAUUACAGAAAUAUAUAAGAAAAUUACUUUUUUUGUCUUUUUUUUCUUUAGCAAAUCACAUAUACAUCCUCCAAAAGGAUUUGAAACACAAAUAAAUCCACUUGUGUUAUUGUUAAACAAAUAAGGACAGUUUUUAACAAUUAAAGACAAUCUUUUCUCUGCAUGCCAUGUGUCAUGGUUUAAUUUACCAAAUUAACCAUAUACUAAUUAAAUAUGCUUUUAGAAGAGAAAAGUCUCACAUUUUGAGAUUUUUCAGUAAGUGAAAUACAGUAGCAGGUUUUCAAUAACUUAGUGUAGUAGCAGUAUACAGUAGCAGCACACAACAACACACAGCAACAACACGCAGUAACAACACACAACAACACGCAAUAGCAGCACACAACAACAACACACACAGUAACAGCACACAACAACACACGCACAAAGCAACACACAGUAGCAGCACGUAGUAACAACAUGCAGUAGCAGCACAAAAUAACACACAUCAACAACACACACAGUAGCAGCCCACAACAACACACGCAGUAGCAGCACACAACAACACACAUAGUAGUAGCACACAACAACACACACAGUAACAGCACACAACAGCACGCAGUAGCAGCACACAACAACACACAACAUCAACACACACAGUAGCAACACACAACAACACACACCAACAUCACACGCAACAGCAGCACGCAGCAGCAGCACAUAGCAGAAUGCAAUAGUAGCACGAAGCAUGAGCACGGAUUAGCUACAAAUGAUCACUUUUUGCUGUCAAAUUCAAAAGAUAUGGGUUUUAAUUCCAAAGAAUCUUUGAGUAAACCAAGUUGUAAAGAUCGAAGAAUAAUCAAAUCAGAUCUGGCUGGAUUCAGCGAAGCCUUAGUCAACAUUCAUCCUUUCAUUAUUUGGCUCCUCCUUUCUUCCUCGCCUCCUAGCGAUUUGGCCGGAGCGGUGACCGGCGAAGAAGAAGAGGAAGAGGAAGAGAAGAAGAGGAAGAGGAAGAGGAGGAAGAGGAAGAAGAGGAAGAGGAAGAGGAAGAGAAGAGAAGAAGAAGAAGAAUCGGUGCAAAUCUGAAAAUGGUGGAGAAGUGGUAUUUUGAGCCAGUGGCAGUGUUGUAGAUAUUUCAGAAAAUAAUAGUUUUUUGGGUAUUUUGCGUAAAAAAUUGUUGACAGGGCGUGGUACUAUGCACUGUGGGCCUGAGUAUAUGUCCUUAUUUAUUUAAAUCUGUUGAAAGAUGGUUUUUCUGUGUUUUGCAACUGUCUAUGGUAGUGGGAUGUCAUUUUCUAUUUUUUCUUUAGAUAAGAAAAUAAAUACAAGAGGAAACAGAAUCAAAUAGGACUGCCUCUAUUGCAGCCUGCACCGAGUUGAUCAAUAUCUGUACCAACUCGAUGUGGGAAUAGAAAAUGACCUGAUUCAGCCUACAGUUAUUUUACAUCAUUCCAUUACAAUUUCCUUUGGAACAGCCUUGAGAGGCUGAGCCAUUUGUAAAGAGAUGCUAAACUUGUCUUCCAAGUUCAUAGUCUCGGGUAGAACUCCAUCUUCAAGCUUCCAAUCAAAGCAGUUAAUGAGUGACCCCAUCAUCAAGUGCAACAUUCUCAUUGCCAAAGGCAAACCUGGACAGAUUCUCCUCCCACUACCAAAUGGAAUAAGCUCAAAGUUAUUUCCCAUAACAUCAAUUUGGUUGUCUGAUCCUAGGAACCUCUCUGGCAUAAAAGAGUUUGGAUUGUCCCAAAUGCUGGGGUCUCUGCCUAUGGCCCAAAUAUUAACUAGAACUUGUGCACCCUUUGGGACAAUGUAGCCCCCGAUUUCUACAUCUGUUUCAGCUUUUCGUGGAAGAAGCAAUGGAGCCACCGGGCGCAGGCGGAAAGUUUCCUUGAUAAUUGCUUGUAAGUAAGGGAGUCUAGCAAUGUUGGAUUCCUCAAUUNNNNNNNNNNNNNNNNNNNNCAUUCCAAUGUGACUGAAGUUGUUCUGUGCCUGCAACAAAUAGAGCCUACAAUGCACAGUGAGUCAGUGACUAAUAGAAAGUAACACUACACUGCAUUGCACGUAUCUCAUAAUUGAGAGAACAGAUUAUCAGUAGUCAAAGCAUUAUUGAAGUGAGUAUUCAAGAAGAACAGAUUGUAGAAGAUGGAGAGUAGAGAGUUAAAGACAAACCGAUAACAAAUGUUCAAUAACUUUGGGGUUGUUCAAAUCCUCCUCAUUUUCCUCUUCUCUGAGGUCUAUAAGAGUAUCCAACAUAUCAUUACUUGCAACAUAAUCAUCCCCUUUUCUAAAUUCCAAUCUUUGUUUGAUCACUGAUUCAAAUAAGCCUAACAUCUUGUUGUAGUGAUUCGUAAAGCGCCGCCUUCUGCCUUGGGGAUCAAUCUUCUUAAGCACAGGGAAAAAGUCCCCUAAAUUCGGUUUCCCAGCCUCCUCUAGCAUACCAGUAGAAAUCUUCUUGAACUCUUUAGUGAUCUCGUUGCUGCUACUCGAGUCAUCAUCUGCCAAAUCCACUGAGAAAAUAGUUCUUGACAGCAAAUUGAGUGAAGUUAUGAAAGCAGCCUUUCCAAUAUCUACUGCCAAACCCUUUAUCAUGUUGUCAUUGACACUAGCUAUGAGCUCUUGCACUUUCUCUCUCCGGUUUUCUUUGUUUGCAUCAAGAACUCUUGUGGCAAAGAGUUGGGAAGUGCAUAUUUUCCGAAGAUUUCUCCACCUUGGUGACACUGGCAUCCACGGCAAGCUGUUGUCUAUCAGUACACGCAGCGCAUCUGGGAUUGUUCUGUUGCAAAACAAAUGGUCAUAGAUUCGGAGGAUUUCUUUGGCCAUGGUUGGUGAAGAAACUACUACAGUGGUUAUCUGGCCAAGCUUCAAAGACAUAAUGGAGCCAUAGUGUUGUGAGAGGUUGGUCAAAGAGAUAUGAGGUUUGUCUCCAAGAUCAAAGAGAUUUCCAACCAAUGGAAAUGGCUUUGGUCCUGGUGGAAGCCUAACUCUGGUUCUUCUAUGGAGGGCUUGGAUUAAGAAGCAGGAGAUUAAACACAGAAACAACAGUAUACCAGACAAGAAGUCCAUCUUUCACUAACAAAUUAGCUUCAAUCACAACUCCAACUCCAACUCUCCUUGAGCUUAACUUAUAGGGAUGAGUUGAGCUAGAUUAUGAAUUAUUGAACAUCUAUUCACAUGUGAUAUAGAUUUCAAUGGUGAAGUUUCUCUUAAUUGGGACAUUAUAGGACUUUCUCAAUUUUGUGUUAGGAAAAUUGGUUAUGAAAUAUAGUGAGAGGCUGAUAAUCCUCUGCUAUCCUCGAUCUCAUCCCGCUAGGUUGACUCUUCUUCCUGCCAUACUUCUAGUCUUCUACCAUGUCUCUGUCGGACAUAGUAAAAGCUGGACUCAAUGAUUGAAAUUCAAACAAAUAGAAAAGAAAAACAUAGAGGAAGACCUAUAGAUCACCACCUAAAAGCUUUUGCUUGCUAAUUGAGCCAACAACUAGUAUUUCAAAACAGUUAGGCAAGAGCGGCAGGAUGCUUACCAUUCUCUACAAAUGCGCACCCCAUUCUCUGCAUGUAUAUGUGCACUGAUAUGUGUACUUAUGUUUUUGAGUUGAACUUGGUUGGUAACAAACUGUAAAUAUAUCAGUCCUCUUAAAGGCAAAUGUGAGUUCUUAAUUGUAGCAGUUGGUAGGAGUAGCACAUCAGUCUUUCUGAUGUUGCUAGUCUCCUAUUUGUUGAAACUGGAAAUAAAGAAAUAGUAGUGAUACAUUACCAUCUAGGAUGAGGCAUUGUGUGUUCUGCAACAUUUCAUGAUUAAUAGAAUUGUUAACUGAAUGAAUCAGCGCCAUCUUAGGAUGUUGUGUUGAUAUCUGAGAAUUACUCCUUGAAAUGUUUUUCCUGUAGUUUUUUUUUCUUGUUAUUCAGACUAUCUUGAACUAACUGUGAAAUAUGCUUAUUAAUCAUCACUAAUAUAUGUCGAAUCUUUUAUUGUUUGAGUUGAUCAAAAAUGUAAAAGUGAGGAGCAGUGGGAGUAACAUCCUGCUGAAUUAUAUCGUUGCAAUCAGUUUGAUCCAUGAUACAUUAUGAAUGAACAAAAUUUUGAUUGAGUUUUGAUUAUAUCUCGCAUUGUGUCAUUAUCUUCAUUCAUAAUAUUUAUCUGCAAAGUGUAUAGAACUACUUAUCUUUCAGGUAAUCAUGAAUCAACCUUGAGUUUGAGAUAUAAUUAUUGGUAUUGGUUUAUAGAUUCAUGUUUGUGGCUUGACAUACCUUACGAUUAAUCUGUGCUAACAAUUGCUCUGUGCUAACUGCUAAGGGUAAGACCAGAAACUACUGCAUUUACGUUGUCUUAUUUUAUGCUGCCAAGGUAGUUAUGUAUGCAAAGUGAUAUGUUGAUACAUGUUAUAAAGUACAUUUUGAAUUUGAAAAAUUUCUAGGAAAAUAGAUAUAUACAAGAGAAUGAGUCAAGUUAAGGAAGAACAUAUAGCUGGUCGUGGAGAACCGUGGUUUUGAUUCAUUUUAGAUUGAAGGUUAUAAAUGUGUUCCAACAGCUUAGUUUUUUUUUUUUUUUUUUUUUCCGGUUAUCAGACCUCACAUUUAGAUUUAUUGAGAAUAAAGAAAAAGGAAGAAAAAAAGGCGGAUGGUAUCUCACAUUUGCUCCAUUAGUCACUUUAUUAUCCCACUUUUCAAAAAUAUCACAUUGGUAUCUGAAAUUCAUACCCUGACUUAACAUAAGUAUAUGAAACUCAUUUAGCCGUUGACUCGAGUAACUGCUGUUAAAUUUUGAGGGGUAUUUUCGUCAAUUAUAAUUCAUAUUGUCUUUUAAAAUUAAAAUAUACUAUGUGAAAUCUAAACCAUCAAUUUUUAAAUUACACAUUUGUUGUGACCGUUCGAUAAGGAAUAAAACUUGGUUUUUCUUUCUCUGAGUUCCUCUGAUAUGACAAUUGCUCGGUGCUCAAGGCUAGGAGAAGCAUCUCCCUAGCUACCCCUAAUCCCAACCCCACACCCCCAAACCCUUCCCACACAAUCCCUUCUCUCCUCUGACUUCCCCAAGCUCUCUGCCACCGUCGCCGUUUCCCCGGCCGUCGUCCGCCGCGUCAUCAAGAAAUGCAACGCCGUUCGCCACGGCAUCACCGUUCUCCAGGCCCUCGUGUUCUUUAACUGGGCAACGUCUCGCAAGGGGUUCGAGCACAAAGAAAAAUAAUUGAGAAUAAAGAAAAAUAAUAGCUUGAGGAGAGGACAUACGCUACCAACUAAAUUGUGCUUUGGCCUUGAUGUAGCUUCUUAGAGCAAGUACACCCUUACCCCAAAAACAAACAAGACCCAGGCCUAAGCCAUGUCAAACAAAGACCCAGCCAGAAAAAACCUCCCUCCACCCAUGAAAUUUCUUUAACCUAGGCCUUCACUGGGUCUUUGCCUGGGUCAGACCUAUGACCCAGACCUUCCUCUACUAGCUCAGCCUGAGUCGUGGGCCAUGAUGUCGUCAACCAAGUGAAGCACGGAAGGGGGUUGAGACAACGCCGGAACCAUUAAGUGGAGGCCAUGCCGAUCGAAACCAUGGUUUGCUGGAAAACUUAACAUCGAAACAACCCAGAAACACAUAAAUAGGGUUAUUGAAAUUACAUUACAAAUCGGAUUAGGAUCCUCUACUUGGCUCUUAUUGAAAACACAGAAAAUUUGUUGAGGGUUCCCAUCAGAAUCAAAAUUGGUCGCCGAAAAUGCCAAGAACUCAUCGAACAGUGAGUGUUUCCUCCGUCGAUCUCCUUUGUUGAGGGUUGCAUGUGGUCAUUGAUUGAGAGGUUUUGAAGAGGGAGAGGAAAUGAACGUUUUGGUGGAGUGUGGUGGCCAGAAACGGCCGGAAUCGACUGGAGAAGAAGUGGCAAACGUGAGAGAGAGAGAGACUGAGAGAGAGAGAGAGAGAGAGAGGAGGGGAGGGGGGAAGAGAACGACCACGUUCGUUGUUUGGUUCGGUUCGACGACACACUACUUCCUUAACUUAAAACUUAAAAGUAAAGNGGUCGGACCGACCGUUAGUUAGUUAUCUACAUAUAUAGUACGACGAACGUAUUAUUUAUUUAUUUACUACACACUAACUAAUUAACUUAAUAAUAAUAUAUNCNCNCACNAGCGACGAACUAACUAAUAACUAGGUAGGUACGGUACGGUACGAACCAACUAACCUAACUACUCGUACGACGACCGACGACGACUCACCUACCACCACCGUACCGACCCGUACCCGUACCGUAACCGAACCGAACGACGACGGAGGGUACGGUACGGUUCGUCUUCUUACUUUACUUACUUACGUACGUAAGGUAAGGUAACGGAACGAAACGUAACGGUACGGUAAGGUACGUACCGUACCUACCGUACGUAACGUAACGUAACGUAACGUAACGUAACGUACGUACGUACGUACGUACGGUACGUAACGUACGUAACGUAACGUAACGUACGUACGUAACGUACGUACGUACGUACGUACGUACGUACGUACGUACGUACGUACGUACGUACGUACGUGUCGUCGUACGUAGUAGUAGUAGUAGUAGUAGUAGUAGUAGUAGGUAGUAGUAGUAGUAGUAGUAGUAGAGAGAGAGAGAGAGUAGAGAGAGAGAGAGAGAGAGAGAGAGAGAGAGAGAGAGAGAGAGANNANNNNNNUGAGAGAGAGAGAGAGAGAGAGAGAGAGGGGGGGGGAGAGGAAAGUCAACGCCAGUUUUGGUGUUUUGACCGGGUCAACACAACUCCUCUUCUUUUAAAACAAAAUGAGUGGCCCAGAUUUGAUCUAGCAAUUUGAUCAAAGGGUCCAUAUUAAUUUUUUUUCAUUAAUCCACAAUUAAUACCUAAUAUAAAAUUUAUUAAACAGUCACCGCCACAUGGCGACCUAGAAACAUAAAUCGUGGGUGGAAACUGCAACCCAAAAUUACUGCCACGUGACGACCCAGAUCUCACCCAUGACCCAGGCCUUCCCAACGAAGACGCAGAGGGUGGACUUGCUCUUAUAUCUCUGAAUGGAGACAACAGUGGAGUAUCCAUCCAAGCGUAUCCAAGAGUAUCAGAGGUGUAUUCGUGCGUAUACAAGUGUAUCUGAGCGUAUCCGAGGAUAUUUGAGACGUCCGAGCAUAUCCAAGUGUAUACAGGAUGAUUGAAGUUGAGUGAUAUAGAUUUGAAAGGUAUCAUCAGUUCAUUUUCCAAAGCCAGAAAUAUGCAAACACCUCUGUUUUAAAUAGUCUAGGCAAGAGCCAUCAAUUUUCUCUGCUCCAUUUAUUGUUUAACGAAAUCUGAUCACCUUAAUAAACAGCUUGAUCUAAUUUUGUGUUUGUCAAAUGAUGUGUUCUAUACUUGUAUUAUUCAAACCACAUAUUUGCUCCAAAUAAUAAUGCAAUGGCCACCUAUCUUUGACGGAAAAAAUGGCCUCCUAUCUUCGACAGAAGUAAUGGCCUCAUUAUCAAUACUCAAUAAUUCAGAUUGGUGCCUUGUACCACAAGCAACCUAACAGUGAGCAUAAGUCCUAGAUAUCAAACAUCCAAUUUACGUCUUUUUCCUUCCAUUCAUCAUAGUCGAAAAUUAGCCAUAGUCGAAAUACUGAUGAAGGCGUUCCGAGUAGGGAAAGAAAAGCAGCCAUACUUGUAGUCUAUGACUGAGAGACGUACAUGCUGAUGGACUGCUGUAAAAGUAAUGAUCAGAUCGAGCUUCUUGCAAGCUGCAAAUAAUAAAAAUCACUAAACCUUCAUGGAAAUAUAUAAGAAAGUUACUUCAUUUAUUUUAUAACGAAAUAAAUACAAGGGGAAACAGAAUAGAGAGGAACUGUCUCUAAGGCAGCCUGCACCAGGUUGAUAAAAUCUGAUAGUUGUAGCAACUCUAGGUGGGAAUAAAGAAAAUUACAUGAUUCAGCCUACAGUUAUUUAAAAUCAUUCCAUUACAAUUUCCUUUGGAACAGCUUUGAGAGGCUGAGCCAUUUGUAAAGAGAGGGCAAACUGUCUUCCAAGUUCAUAGUCUCAGGUACAACUCCAUCUUCAAGCUUCCAAUCAAAGCAGUUAAUGAGUGAACCCAGCAUCAAGUGCAACAUUCUCAUUGCCAAUGGCAAACCUGGACAGAUUCUCCUCCCA
RNAcentral lists this long non-coding RNA (14314 nucleotides) under Fragaria vesca (wild strawberry). Its description in RNAcentral is "long non-coding RNA (FVES_LNC005601)". Lineage: Eukaryota; Viridiplantae; Streptophyta; Magnoliopsida; Rosales; Rosaceae. The record is from RNAcentral.